This 484-nucleotide ribosomal RNA is filed under the name uncultured bacterium. Its description in RNAcentral is "partial 16S ribosomal RNA". It matches the Rfam family "Bacterial small subunit ribosomal RNA", at positions 30 to 507 of the family's 1533-position model. The record is from RNAcentral.
AUUGAACGCUGGCGGCAGGCCUAACACAUGCAAGUCGAGCGGCAGAAGAGAACUUGCUCCUUCAUACAGCGGCGGACGGGUGGGUAAUUCCUAGGUAUCUGCCUGUUUGUGUGGGCUAGCGUCCGGAAACGGGCGCUCAUACCGCAUUAGUCCUGAGGGAGAAAGUGUGGGAUCAUCGGAUCUUACGCUAUCAGAUGAUCCUAUGUCGGAUUAGCUAGUUGGUGGGGUAACGGCCUACCAAGGCGACGAUUCGUCAAUGGUCUGAGAGGCUGAUCAGGCACACUGGAACUGGGGCACGGUCCAGACUCCUACGGGAGGCAGCAGUGGGGAAUCUUGGGCAAUGGGCGAAAGCCUGAACCAGCCAUGCCGCGUGUGUGAAGAAGGUCUUCGGAUUGUAAAACACUUUUAGUUGGGAAGAAAAAGAGUAAGGUUAAACCUUCGCGGUUUGACGGUACCAAAAGGAAAAGCCACGGCUAACUUCGUG